Molecule: long non-coding RNA, 436 nt
Organism: Arachis duranensis
Lineage: Eukaryota; Viridiplantae; Streptophyta; Magnoliopsida; Fabales; Fabaceae
Exons: 4
Source: RefSeq, a predicted model, not a curated record
GAAACAUUCGUUUGGAGGUUUGAUUUUUGCUUCUCUGUACUUCUUUAUUAUUACUAUUAUUAUUAUAGCAUCCUCCUUAUCAUAUUUAUAUAUUUUUUUUCAAUCUUUAAAUUUUCUCUCUACAUGAGAAGGUAAUUAGACGAGGUAGAAGAAUUGAGAUCUCAAUCUAGUAUGACUGGGGAGAGCAAUAUUGUUGAAAAUAAUUCUAAGAACCCUAUUCUGAUAUCUGGUUGUAAAGUUGCAGAUGGCAGUGGUGUUAUGCUCUAAUGGCUUCGGGAUCCGAUGAUGCUCUUAAGAGUGUUGGUUUAGUCUUAGCAGGACUUACCAACUGAAUCUGGAACUGUGAUCCCCUAUGUUCACUUGAUGAAACAAGCUCACAAGAUUUUGAGGACAGUUAUAUAGUCUUGUUAUUUGCAUAACUUAGUAUAGUUGAACA